Molecule: ribosomal RNA, 690 nt
Filed under: Triticum aestivum (bread wheat)
Lineage: Eukaryota; Viridiplantae; Streptophyta; Magnoliopsida; Poales; Poaceae
Description: partial small subunit ribosomal RNA
Source: RNAcentral
AUGAAUCCACCUGAGCACAAACUGCCCCCUGUUGCUGCCUGUGGAGCCGCCCUGCCCUAUGCUGCUGCUUCCACACCCCAAUGUUGCUCCUCCAAAGUGCCCUCCACUGUUGCGUUGGUCCUCUUGGUCACGCUGCGGAUGCUCCCGGAGCUCGCGUUGCACGGAGCGUGGAGGUUUGGACACGAGGAAGCCAUUGGAGUAGGCCGCGGAGCUCGCGGCGCACGGAGGCGUCGGAGACGAACGUCGACAUGCUCCAUCCCGGACCACAGCGCUCUCGUACCUGCGUCAGCACCCAGUGCAGUAGCAGGGGCGCCUUUUGUCGCCGACCGCAUCGCGCCCGCGCCCCAUCGCCUUCCCGCCGCUCCUCUUCGCCAGAGCUGCCGCCGCCGCGCGCUCCCCGCGCGCUCCCCGCGCAACCACCUCCACUCUGUGCUCGCGCAGAUCCUUGACGUGGCCUCCUGCUGCGUUGCCGAAGCCGCCCCAACACACGGGGCAGUAGCAGGGGCGGCCCCCGUCUUCAAACGCAUCGGCCCCCAUCUCCUUCUCGCCACUCCUCCCCGCCUCGGUCUCCAGGAGCAGCACCUCUGCCGCGGUCUCCGAGUAAGCCACCGGCGCAGCCGCCCACACACGAGCUCCUCGCCAUGGUGCUCGCGCUCCGGGAGCAGCACCUUCGCCGCGGUCUUCGAGUAA